Long non-coding RNA from Oncorhynchus keta (chum salmon), 272 nucleotides. RefSeq lists it as uncharacterized. The record is from RefSeq and is a predicted model, not a curated record. Lineage: Eukaryota; Metazoa; Chordata; Actinopteri; Salmoniformes; Salmonidae. The transcript has 3 exons.
UGUUAAGAUAACACCGCUGAGAGGUAGAGACUGUUAAGAUAACACCGCUGAGAGGUAGAGACUGUUAAGAUAACACCGCUGAGAGGUAGAGACUGUUAAGAUAACACCGCUGAGAGGUAGAGACUGUUAAGAUAACACCGCUGAGAGGUAGAGACUGUUAAGAUAACACCGCUGAGAGGUAGAGACUGUUAAGAUAACACCGCUGAGAGGUAGAGACUGUUAAGAUAACACCGCUGAGAGGUAGAGACUGUUAAGAUAACGCCGCUGAGAGG